GGUUGUGGUGGUGGAGGUGCAGGUCCAAGUGACGCUUGGAAAGCAGGGAACGCACGGCUCUUAUCUGGUUCGAAUCCAGUUCGUCCCC
Molecule: transfer RNA, 88 nt
Filed under: Avena longiglumis
Lineage: Eukaryota; Viridiplantae; Streptophyta; Magnoliopsida; Poales; Poaceae
Description: tRNA-Val
Source: RNAcentral